CCCCACCCAUGGACCUGGAUAGGGGUCCGGACGCGUCGCCUGAGCACUCUCACCACCUGGGGUCGCUGACCAGCGCACCCAGGCCCGGACCCCGUCCGCACCAGGGGCCCCAAGAGUCCAGCUCGCCGGACUUCGCCCGGCUGAGAUCCGGGAGUCUGGAUGUCCAGCCCCGAGGGCGCCAUCUUCCCCUAGGGGCGCCGCCGCUUCCGGGUCUGUCCCAAGGUGGGGGCGUGGCCCUGAACGUCAUCCACGUGGACUCCGCCCUGCGGGGCCUGGCUCCCGCCCCCUGCGCACCUGGCCCCGCCCCGCCGUCGGUUUUCAGAGAGGUUGCUGGGUUCCGUGUGGAGACGACCCGCGAAUGAGUCCACGCAGACGCGCACCAAGUCGCCGGACGACGCACUCACAGACCCAUGUGAAGGACACAAGGGGGACAUCUGUGACAACAGAGGCAGAGACUGAAGUCCUGCUGCUACAAGCCAAGGGACACCAAGGACUGCCGGCAGCCACAAGAACCCAGGGAGAGGCAAGGAAAGACCCUCUCUUCCACGCUACAGGAGUAUAGCCCUGCCAACACCUCGAUUCUGUACUGCCGGCCUCCAGAACUG
Lagenorhynchus albirostris (white-beaked dolphin) is the source of this 605-nucleotide long non-coding RNA. RefSeq lists it as uncharacterized. The transcript has 3 exons. The record is from RefSeq and is a predicted model, not a curated record. NCBI's taxonomy places the organism in Eukaryota, Metazoa, Chordata, Mammalia, Artiodactyla, Delphinidae.